ACGAACGCUGGCGGCGUGCUUAACACAUGCAAGUCGAACGGAAAGGCCCUGCUUUUGUGGGGUGCUCGAGUGGCGAACGGGUGAGUAACACGUGAGUAACCUGCCCUUGACUUUGGGAUAACUUCAGGAAACUGGGGCUAAUACCGGAUAGGAGCUCCUGCUGCAUGGUGGGGGUUGGAAAGUUUCGGCGGUUGGGGAUGGACUCGCGGCUUAUCAGCUUGUUGGUGGGGUAGUGGCUUACCAAGGCUUUGACGGGUAGCCGGCCCGAGAGGGUGACCGGCCACAUUGGGACUGAGAUACGGCCCAGACUCCUACGGGAGGCAGCAGUGGGCAAUAUUGCACAAUGGGCGGAAGCCUGAUGCAGCAACGCCGCGUGCGGGAUGACGGCCUUCGGGUUGUAAACCGCUUUCGCCUGUGACGAAGCGUGAGUGACGGUAAUGGGUAAAGAAGCACCGGCUAACUACGUG
This 467-nucleotide ribosomal RNA is filed under the name uncultured bacterium. RNAcentral describes it as "partial 16S ribosomal RNA". It matches the Rfam family "Bacterial small subunit ribosomal RNA", at positions 29 to 507 of the family's 1533-position model. The record is from RNAcentral.